This is a long non-coding RNA of Asparagus officinalis (garden asparagus), 136 nucleotides long. RefSeq lists it as uncharacterized. The record is from RefSeq and is a predicted model, not a curated record. The transcript is spliced from 3 exons. Lineage: Eukaryota; Viridiplantae; Streptophyta; Magnoliopsida; Asparagales; Asparagaceae.
CUGCCUUCAUCAGCGAGGAGCGCUGGAAUCCGUUUAGCAGGAGCUACAGCUGAUGUUCAUUGUUAUGAUGUGCUAACAAAUAAGUGGUCAAGGCUCACUCCUCUUGGAGAGCCUCCAUCUCUGAGAGCUGCUCAUG